RNAcentral lists this ribosomal RNA (847 nucleotides) under uncultured Sebacinales. RNAcentral's name for it is "eukaryotic LSU rRNA". The stretch from base 178 to 847 matches the Rfam family "Eukaryotic large subunit ribosomal RNA", at positions 1 to 649 of the family's 3401-position model. The record is from RNAcentral. Lineage: Eukaryota; Fungi; Basidiomycota; Agaricomycetes; Sebacinales.
GAAUGUGGACUUGGAUGUUGCCGUUUUAUCACGGCUCGUCUUAAAUGCCUGAGUGUACCCUGUUUUGCAGCGUAUCCAGUGUAAUAAACAUUUCACUAGAGUUGGUCGAAAGACCGCGUUGACUAUAUGGGCUCUAUGCUUCAAACCGUCUGCCAUGUGGACAAUUUCUUGACAAUUUGACCUCAAAUCGGGUGGGACUACCCGCUGAACUUAAGCAUAUCAAUAAGCGGAGGAAAAGAAACUAACAAGGAUUCCCCUAGUAACGGCGAGUGAAGAGGGAAAAGCUCAAAUUUUAAAUCUGGUGUCUUUGACUCCCGAGUUGUAAUCUAGAGAAGUGUUUUCCGUGUCGGACCGUGUACAAGUUCCCUGGAACGGGGCGUCAUAGAGGGUGAGAAUCCCGUAUAUGCCACGGACUACCGAUGCUCUGUGAUACACUCUCAACGAGUCGAGUUGUUUGGGAAUGCAGCUCAAAAUGGGUGGUAAAUUCCAUCUAAAGCUAAAUAUUGGCGAGAGACCGAUAGCGAACAAGUACCGUGAGGGAAAGAUGAAAAGCACUUUGGAAAGAGAGUGAAACAGUACGUGAAAUUGUUGAAAGGGAAGCGUUUGAAGUCAGUCGCAUCUGUUGGGGUUCAGCCUGGCUUUUGCCUGGUGUAUUUCCUUUCCGAUGGGUCAGCAUCAGUUUCGACCGAGGGAAAAAGACAUUUGGAAUGUGGCUGUCUUCGGGCAGUGUUAUAGCCUUGUGUUGUAUGUCUCGGUUGGGACUGAGGAUUGCAGCGCGCCAUAAAUGGCCGGGGGUCGCUCCUCUCGACACGCGCUUAGGAUGCUGGCAUAAUGGCUUUAAGCGACC